RNAcentral lists this long non-coding RNA (477 nucleotides) under Physcomitrium patens. RNAcentral's name for it is "long non-coding RNA (PPAT_LNC003120)". The record is from RNAcentral. Lineage: Eukaryota; Viridiplantae; Streptophyta; Bryopsida; Funariales; Funariaceae.
CUACUUUAUUUUUAUAGGUGUCUUUAAUUGACUUUUAAGAUUAGAAACGUGGUCAAUAAAUUGGCCAUGUGCCACACAUGUUGGUAGCUUGAAGAACAAGUUAAUUAUAUGGCCCACAUGUAGAAAACUCGCCUUGUAAGCUAAGGCAUGUGUCCCUCAAAGUCAAUACAUAUUAGAGGUCCUAUAGAACAUUGCCAUGUAGCUCCUAAUUAGAUAGUAUAUAUAAAGGCAAGAAUGAAGCCCUCUUCAUUCUUGUCAAUUCUUUUUUUGCUUCUAGUUUAGAUUUAAGAAUCUUUAGUUUUCUUGUCUUUUGGCAAUAGCCAUUCCAGCUUCUUUUUAAUAUACAUACUAUGUCACGGACACAAAAUACAGACUUGAAAUCUAACAAGAAGUUCAAGAAGAAGUGGCAGAACUAGAUUAAACAGAUGAGUACAAGAACAACACCAGAAAGGUGAGCUAGAACUCCAAGAGAUGUGU